This 253-nucleotide ribosomal RNA is filed under the name uncultured bacterium. RNAcentral's name for it is "partial 16S ribosomal RNA". It matches the Rfam family "Bacterial small subunit ribosomal RNA", at positions 524 to 776 of the family's 1533-position model. The record is from RNAcentral.
UACAGAGGUCCCGAGCGUUGUUCGGAUUCAUUGGGCGUAAAGGGUGCGUAGGCGGUUUUUUAAGUUUGAUGUGAAAUCCCGGGGCUCAACCCUGGAAUUGCAUUGAAUACUGAAGAACUAGAGAUCUGGAGAGGAAACUGGAAUUUACGGUGUAGCAGUGAAAUGCGUAGAGAUCGUAAGGAAGACCAGUGGCGAAGGCGGGUCGCUGGACAGUUCCUGACACUGAGGCACGAAGGCCAGGGGAGCAAACGGG